UACAGAGGGUGCGAGCGUUAAUCGGAAUUACUGGGCGUAAAGCGUGCGUAGACGGUUAUUUAAGUCGGGUGUGAAAGCCCCGGGCUCAACCUGGGAAUUGCGAUGGAGACUGCAAGGCUUGAAUCUGGCAGAGGGGGGUAGAAUUCCACGUGUAGCAGUGAAAUGCGUAGAGAUGUGGAGGAACACCGAUGGCGAAGGCAGCCCCCUGGGUCAAGAUUGACGCUCAUGCACGAAAGCGUGGGGAGCAAACAGG
This 253-nucleotide ribosomal RNA is filed under the name uncultured bacterium. RNAcentral's name for it is "partial 16S ribosomal RNA". It matches the Rfam family "Bacterial small subunit ribosomal RNA", at positions 524 to 776 of the family's 1533-position model. The record is from RNAcentral.